AGUGAACGCUGGCGGUAGGCCUAACACAUGCAAGUCGAACGGCAGCACAGUAAGAGCUUGCUCUUACGGGUGGCGAGUGGCGGACGGGUGAGGAAUACAUCGGAAUCUACUUUUUCGUGGGGGAUAACGUAGGGACACUUACGCUAAUACCGCAUACGACCUACGGGUGAAAGCAGGGGAUCUUCGGCCCUUGCGCGAUUGAAUGAGCCGAUGUCGGAUUAGCUAGUUGGCGGGGUAAAGGCCCACCAAGGCGACGAUCCGUAGCUGGUCUGAGAGGAUGAUCAGCCACACUGGAACUGAGACACGGUCCAGACUCCUACGGGAGGCAGCAGUGGGGAAUAUUGGACAAUGGGCGCAAGCCUGAUCCAGCCAUACCGCGUGGGUGAAGAAGGCCUUCGGGUUGUAAAGCCCUUUUGUUGGGAAAGAAAAGCAGCAGGUUAAUACCCCGCUGUUCUGACGGUACCAAAAGAAUAAGCACCGGCUAACUUCGUG
This 492-nucleotide ribosomal RNA is filed under the name uncultured bacterium. Its description in RNAcentral is "partial 16S ribosomal RNA". It matches the Rfam family "Bacterial small subunit ribosomal RNA", at positions 29 to 507 of the family's 1533-position model. The record is from RNAcentral.